CAAACGACUCUCGGCAACGGAUAUCUCGGCUCACGCAUCGAUGAAGAACGUAGCAAAAUGCGAUACUUGGUGUGAAUUGCAGAAUCCCGUGAACCAUCGAGUUUUUGAACGCAAGUUGCGCCCAAAGCCACUCGGCUGAGGGCACGUCUGCCUGGGCGUCACGC
This 164-nucleotide ribosomal RNA is filed under the name Carpesium cernuum. RNAcentral describes it as "5.8S ribosomal RNA". It matches the Rfam family "5.8S ribosomal RNA". Rfam says of the family: 5.8S ribosomal RNA (5.8S rRNA) is a component of the large subunit of the eukaryotic ribosome. It is transcribed by RNA polymerase I as part of the 45S precursor that also contains 18S and 28S rRNA. The record is from RNAcentral. RNAcentral also lists the same sequence under 2 other names. Lineage: Eukaryota; Viridiplantae; Streptophyta; Magnoliopsida; Asterales; Asteraceae.